RNAcentral lists this ribosomal RNA (255 nucleotides) under uncultured bacterium. RNAcentral describes it as "partial 16S ribosomal RNA". It matches the Rfam family "Bacterial small subunit ribosomal RNA", at positions 524 to 776 of the family's 1533-position model. The record is from RNAcentral.
UACGUAGGGUGCAAGCGUUUAUCCGGAAUUAUUGGGCGUAAAGAGCUCGUAGGCGGUUUUGUCGCGUCUGCUGUGAAAACUGGGGGCUCAACCCCCAGCCUGCAGUGGGUACGGGCAGACUAGAGUGCGGUAGGGGAGAUUGGAAUUCCUGGUGUAGCGGUGGAAUGCGCAGAUAUCAGGAGGAACACCGAUGGCGAAGGCAGAUCUCUGGGCCGUAACUGACGCUGAGGAGCGAAAGCAUGGGGAGCGAACAGG